CGUCUAUAUACGUAUAGCAUAUCAAUAAGCGGAGGAAAAGAAACUAACUAGGAUUCCCUUAGUAACGGCGAGUGAAGCGGGAAGAGCUCAAAUUUGAAAUCUUCAAGGUUUUACCUUGACGAAUUGUAGUUUAAAGAAGUGUUUUCUGUUGUGAAUUUUGGUAAAAGUUCUUUGGAAUAGGACAUCAUAAGAGGGUGAGAAUCCCGUAUUUGACCAUUUCUUCCAGCUGUGUGAUACACUUUCAAAGAGUCGGAUUGUUUGGGAAUGCAGUCCAAAAUGGGUGGUAAAUUUCAUCUAAAGCUAAAUACUGGCGAGAGACCGAUAGCGAACAAGUACCGUGAGGGAAAGAUGAAAAGAACUUUGAAAAGAGAGUUAAACAGUACGUGAAAUUGUCAAAAGGGAAGCGUUUGACACCAGUGUUGUUUUCUCGAAAAUCAAUUAAAAAUGGCGGGAUGUUGUGUUGUAUUGACUUUAUCAGCUUUCUGCACUUUUUUCCUGUCUUUUUUAAUGCACUUUUCGUUUAACAAGUCAACAUCAAUUUCUUUUGUUGUAAAAGGGUCAUUGGAAGGUGGCUUUCUUUUCGGAGAAAGUGUUUAUAGCCUUUGACUUCUGCAAUCGGAGAGAUUGAGGUCUGCAGCGUAGAUCCUUCGGGGUUAGAUACAUUUGUGCUAAGUUAUAGCCUUUCAUAGACAACUUGUUGACUAUGAUCAGUCAUGUAGCUUACUCGCUUAUGUCAUUUUACCUACGCUUAGGAUGUUGACGAUCAGCUGAGCGCG
This 776-nucleotide ribosomal RNA is filed under the name uncultured Neocallimastigales. Its description in RNAcentral is "partial large subunit ribosomal RNA". It matches the Rfam family "Eukaryotic large subunit ribosomal RNA", at positions 26 to 628 of the family's 3401-position model. The record is from RNAcentral. Lineage: Eukaryota; Fungi; Neocallimastigomycota; Neocallimastigomycetes; Neocallimastigales.